AGAAUUGCUUUGAGAAAAGACUCUGCCUUAGAACAUGGUUUUCCCAGGGCGAGGCUCAUCCAUUGCACUGCGGGUGUGCUGACCCCUGCGAUUUCCCCAAAUGCGGGAAACUCGACUGCAUAAUUUGUGGUAGUGGGGGACUGCGUUCGCGCUCUCCCCGG
Molecule: non-coding RNA, 161 nt
Organism: Chelonia mydas (Green sea turtle)
Lineage: Eukaryota; Metazoa; Chordata; Testudines; Cheloniidae
Source: Rfam